RNAcentral lists this long non-coding RNA (924 nucleotides) under Macaca fascicularis (crab-eating macaque). RNAcentral's name for it is "lncRNA (ENSMFAG00000057560.1)". The record is from RNAcentral. Lineage: Eukaryota; Metazoa; Chordata; Mammalia; Primates; Cercopithecidae.
AACUGAAUUCUGUGUCUCCUGCUACCAUUAGCAUUUCCCACCUUGUUCUUCAUAGGUGGCGUUGAUCUGCCUUGAUGGACGGGCAGCACCUGGAAGGCAGGGCUGUGCUGAUUGAUGCCGGGGGCCCACUCCUAUUCAUUCGUUCAACUGGUAGAGGAUCUCUCCCUGCUUCAUCCCCUCCCACCAACGCUUCUUGCCCAUGAAGGGGGAGUGCCAGACUCUGCCCAUGUCACCUCCUCCCCCAGGAGAGAAGCCUGUGACAGGUUGUUGGGGAGCUCCUUCAUUCAUUUAUUCAUCCUUUCCUCAAAUGUUAUGGAGCAAGGCCACAGCUGGGAGUACCACUCCCUGAAGGAAGAAGAUGUUAAGUAAGUGGGAAAUUCUAACCUAAGAGGGUCUGUGCUCUGGUCAGAGAACAGUGAUCUGGGAAUAUAGAGGGGCUCCUAAUCCUGACAUGAGCUUCCCAGGAGAUACACGGUCUAGGCUAACAAAGGAAGAAUGGGUAGAAGACAGCCAGGUAAGUAAACAGCGGUGUUCAGGAAGAGAGAAAUAACUGAGGCCAAGUCCCAGGGAGGAGCGUGCAACACUUCAAAAGCUCUGAAGCUUCCCAGUGUGCAUGGAGCUCAGCAGGGUGAGGUGGGAAACUGUAGGAAAGGAGAUUGAGGGGAAGGGAGCAGGCACCAAGAGCCUGUAAGCCAUAAUAAAGGCUUUGACCCUUCCCUUGAGGGCACUAGAGAGCCAUUGAAGGUUCUUAAAUAACUGAGCGACUUGAUCAAAUUUGAAUUUUUUUUUUUUUUUUUUUUUUUUUUGAGAUGGAGUUUCACUCUUGUUGCCCAGACUAGAGUACAAUGGCGUAAUCUUGGCUCACCACAACCUCUGCCUCCCGGGUUCAAGCGAUUCUCCUACCUCAGCCUCCCAAGCAGCAGG